Molecule: long non-coding RNA, 655 nt
Organism: Mercenaria mercenaria
Lineage: Eukaryota; Metazoa; Mollusca; Bivalvia; Venerida; Veneridae
Exons: 5
Source: RefSeq, a predicted model, not a curated record
GUCAUAAUUUCAAAAUGUCUGAAAUUCGCUGGCUGCUGCUGUAAGUCAACUUUUAAGCAUAUUUACAUGUAAAUAAGGUGCAAUGUUAGAAGUGACAGUAAUGCAGAAUACCUACAGACCUUGAAGAGAAAUGAAGAGAUACAGCCCUAAAUUGUUCAACAUGGUGUGUGUGGGAAACAUAGUGGACAGAAAGCAUGUGACAAAAAAUGAAAAGAAAAGGCGGUGUUGAAUGGUAUGCAGUGAGUGCAAGUCAUCUGAAGUCAGGGACCAUCGUAUUGCAGCAUUCCAGAAAGCAGUCUACAGAAUACCAUACUUUCGUUUUCAAGUAACAGCGUGAAAACAUGCAAAUAUAAAGUGUGAAGUAACAGUAGCACAGAAUGGCUGGAGACCAUUAACUUGAGAACUGAAGAGAUGCAGGUCUUUGUUCUAUAUGGUGAUUGAUGGAACUAUGGUGCAGUUUUGAAUUUAUAAGGUGUGAAGUUACAGAAAAGCAGAAUAGCUACAGACCAUUAAAUUUAGAAAAUGAAGAGAUGCAUGUCUCUGUUCAGCAUGGUGUUUAUGGGAAACAUUGUAGGUCACAGACCUCUGUUCAGCAUGGUGUAUAUGGGAAACAUUGUGGGUCACAGACAUGAAAUGGUUUGGUAAGUUAUCACAC